This 632-nucleotide ribosomal RNA is filed under the name Causa holosericea. RNAcentral describes it as "partial 12S small subunit ribosomal RNA". The record is from RNAcentral. Lineage: Eukaryota; Metazoa; Mollusca; Gastropoda; Stylommatophora; Helicidae.
CCAAAAAUGGAUCACCUUUAAAGACACUCUAUUGGGGUUAUUUCUUUGCGCGUUGUACUUUAUCAUGGAACUUCGUGGACUUACAGAUAAAAAUCUUUGUUCGUCAAGAAAUUGAGCACAUGACACCAUAACGUGUGUGACUAACAUAGUGCCAGCAGUCGCGGUCAUACUAGGGCAACUGUAAAGAUAUUUAGGCAGGUUAAACACACUUUUUUAAUUUCAUAGUGAAAUAUAAAUUCUCUCCGUUGUAAUUGUUUCUUUAAACUACUGAAAACAAACAGGGAUUAGAUACCCCUUUAUGCAGUAUAAACUACAAUGCCUGAGGAUUAAGAUACUUAUCCAAACUCAACCAACAUGGCGGUAAUAUAUAAUUUUAGGGGAACUUACUAUAUAAAUGAUAACCACCAAGGUAAUAUCCAUUAAGUUAAAUUUUGUAUACCGUCGUCGCAGGUAUAUUAUAAUAAUAUGCCAUACUAUCUUCCAUACCAAGACAGAUCAAGGUGCAGACAAUCUUGAUGUUUAAGCGAGUUACUAUAAAAAAUAUUUUCUCAAACCAUUUUUAAUUAUACUACGUGUAGGACUUAAAAGUAAUAACUAUCACUAAUAAAUUAUGAAUAUAAUAUAUAUUGCGC